RNAcentral lists this ribosomal RNA (431 nucleotides) under uncultured bacterium. Its description in RNAcentral is "partial 16S ribosomal RNA". It matches the Rfam family "Bacterial small subunit ribosomal RNA", at positions 29 to 507 of the family's 1533-position model. The record is from RNAcentral.
AACGAACGCUGGCGGCAGGCUUAACACAUGCAAGUCGAACGCCCCGCAAGGGGAGUGGCGCACGGGUGAGUAACGCGUGGAUAUCUGCCUUUUGGUUCGGAAUAACCCCGGGAAACUGGGGCUAAUACCGGAUGGUUCCUACGGGAUAAAGAUUUAUCGCCAAAAGAUGAGUCCGCGUACGAUUAGCUAGUUGGUGAGGUAAUGGCUCACCAAGGCGACGAUCGUUAGCUGGUCUGAGAGGACGAUCAGCCACACUGGGACUGAGACACGGCCCAGACUCCUACGGGAGGCAGCAGUGGGGAAUAUUGGACAAUGGGGUCAACCCUGAUCCAGCCAUGCCGCGUGAGUGAUGAAGGCCUUCGGGUUGUAAAGCUCUUUUGGCGGGGACGAUGAUGACGGUACCCGCAGAAUAAGCCCCGGCUAACUUCGUG